This is a non-coding RNA of Hordeum vulgare subsp. vulgare (domesticated barley), 114 nucleotides long. The record is from Rfam. NCBI's taxonomy places the organism in Eukaryota, Viridiplantae, Streptophyta, Magnoliopsida, Poales, Poaceae.
GAUUACAUCCCUCCGUCCGGAAUUACUUGUCACCAAAAUAAAAAGAAAUGGAUGUAUAUACGUCUAGAUACAUCCAUUUGUAUGACAAAUAAUUCCGGACGGAGGGAGGACAUG